CAGCCGCCACGGGAAUACGUAGGGCGCAAGCGUUGUCCGGAAUUAUUGGGCGUAAAGAGCUCGUAGGCGGUCUGUCGCGUCUGGUGUGAAAUCCCGAGGCUCAACCUCGGGCUUGCAUCGGGUACGGGCAGACUAGAGUGCGGUAGGGGAGACUGGAAUUCCUGGUGUAGCGGUGGAAUGCGCAGAUAUCAGGAGGAACACCGAUGGCGAAGGCAGGUCUCUGGGCCGCAACUGACGCUGAGGAGCGAAAGCAUGGGGAGCGAACAGGAUUAGAUACCCCAGUAGUCCCUGUCUCUUAUAA
This 301-nucleotide ribosomal RNA is filed under the name uncultured bacterium. RNAcentral's name for it is "partial 16S ribosomal RNA". It matches the Rfam family "Bacterial small subunit ribosomal RNA", at positions 509 to 809 of the family's 1533-position model. The record is from RNAcentral.